RNAcentral lists this ribosomal RNA (220 nucleotides) under uncultured bacterium. Its description in RNAcentral is "partial 16S ribosomal RNA". It matches the Rfam family "Bacterial small subunit ribosomal RNA", at positions 111 to 334 of the family's 1533-position model. The record is from RNAcentral.
UAAUACAUCGGAACGUGUCUUCUAGUGGGGGAUAACUGCCCGAAAGGGCAGCUAAUACCGCAUGAGACCUGAGGGUGAAAGCGGGGGAUCGCAAGACCUCGCGCUGGAAGAGCGGCAGAUGUCCGAUUAGCUAGUUGGUGAGGUAAAGGCUCACCAAGGCGACGAUCGGUAGCUGGUCUGAGAGGACGACCAGCCACACUGGGACUGAGACACAGCCCAG